CCUACGGGCGGCAGCAGUGGGGAAUAUUGCACAAUGGGGGAAACCCUGAUGCAGCGACGCCGCGUGAGUGAAGAAGUAUUUCGUUAUGUAAAGCUCUGUCAGCAGGGAAGAAAAUGACGGUACCUGACCAAGAAGCCCCGGCUAACUACGUGCCAGCAGCCGCGGUAAUACGUAGGGGGCAAGCGUUAUCCGGAUUUACUGGGUGUAAAGGGAGCGUAGACGGCGGGGCAAGUCUGGAGUGAAAUGCCGGGGCUCAACCUCGGGACUGCUCUGGAAACUGCCAGACUAGAGUGCAGGAGAGGUAAGUGGAAUUCCUAGUGUAGCGGUGAAAUGCGUAGAUAUUAGGAGGAACACCAGUGGCGAAGGCGGCUUACUGGACUGUAACUGACGUUGAGGCUCGAAAGCGUGGGGAGCAAACAGGAUUAGAUACCCCAGUAGUC
RNAcentral lists this ribosomal RNA (440 nucleotides) under uncultured bacterium. RNAcentral describes it as "partial 16S ribosomal RNA". It matches the Rfam family "Bacterial small subunit ribosomal RNA", at positions 338 to 795 of the family's 1533-position model. The record is from RNAcentral.